This 253-nucleotide ribosomal RNA is filed under the name uncultured bacterium. RNAcentral describes it as "partial 16S ribosomal RNA". It matches the Rfam family "Bacterial small subunit ribosomal RNA", at positions 524 to 776 of the family's 1533-position model. The record is from RNAcentral.
UAUGAAGGGGGCUAGCGUUGCUCGGAUUGACUGGGCGUAAAGGGCGCGUAGGCGGUUCGUACAGUCAGACGUGAAAUUCCUGGGCUCAACCUGGGGGCUGCGUUUGAUACGUGCGGACUUGAGUGCGGAAGAGGGUCGUGGAAUUCCCAGUGUAGAGGUGAAAUUCGUAGAUAUUGGGAAGAACACCGGUGGCGAAGGCGGCGACCUGGUCCGAUACUGACGCUGAGGCGCGAAAGCGUGGGGAGCAAACAGG